This 253-nucleotide ribosomal RNA is filed under the name uncultured bacterium. RNAcentral describes it as "partial 16S ribosomal RNA". It matches the Rfam family "Bacterial small subunit ribosomal RNA", at positions 524 to 776 of the family's 1533-position model. The record is from RNAcentral.
UACGUAGGGUGCAAGCGUUAAUCGGAAUUACUGGGCGUAAAGCGUGCGCAGGCGGUUCUAUAAGACAGAUGUGAAAUCCCCGGGCUCAACCUGGGAACUGCAUUUGUGACUGCAUAGCUAGAGUACGGUAGAGGGGGAUGGAAUUCCGCGUGUAGCAGUGAAAUGCGUAGAUAUGCGGAGGAACACCGAUGGCGAAGGCAAUCCCCUGGACCUGUACUGACGCUCAUGCACGAAAGCGUGGGGAGCAAACAGG